GAUGAACGCUGGCGGCGUGCCUAAUACAUGCAAGUCGAGCGAACGGACGAGAAGCUUGCUUCUCUGAUGUUAGCGGCGGACGGGUAAGUAACACGUGGAUAACCUACCUAUAAGACUGGGAUAACUUCGGGAAACCGGAGCUAAUACCGGAUAAUAUUUUGAACCGCAUGGUUCAAAAGUGAAAGACGGUCUUGCUGUCACUUAUAGAUGGAUCCGCGCUGCAUUAGCUAGUUGGUAAGGUAACGGCUUACCAAGGCAACGAUGCAUAGCCGACCUGAGAGGGUGAUCGGCCACACUGGAACUGAGACACGGUCCAGACUCCUACGGGAGGCAGCAGUAGGGAAUCUUCCGCAAUGGGCGAAAGCCUGGCGGAGCAACGCCGCGUGAGUGAUGAAGGUCUUCGGAUCGUAAAACUCUGUUAUUAGGGAAGAACAUAUGUGUAAGUAACUGUGCACAUCUUGACGGUACCGAAUCAGAAAGCCACGGCUAACUACGU
RNAcentral lists this ribosomal RNA (496 nucleotides) under uncultured bacterium. Its description in RNAcentral is "partial 16S ribosomal RNA". It matches the Rfam family "Bacterial small subunit ribosomal RNA", at positions 28 to 506 of the family's 1533-position model. The record is from RNAcentral.